This 253-nucleotide ribosomal RNA is filed under the name uncultured bacterium. RNAcentral's name for it is "partial 16S ribosomal RNA". It matches the Rfam family "Bacterial small subunit ribosomal RNA", at positions 524 to 776 of the family's 1533-position model. The record is from RNAcentral.
UACGGGGGGGGCAAGCGUUGUUCGGAAUUACUGGGCGUAAAGGGCUCGUAGGUGGCCAACUAAGUCAGACGUGAAAUCCCUCAGCUUAACUGGGGAACUGCGUCUGAUACUGGUGGGCUUGAGUGCAGGAGAGGAACGCGGAAUUCCAGGUGUAGCGGUGAAAUGCGUAGAUAUCGCUUGGAACGCCAACGGUGAAAACAGGUUGCUGGGGGUGUGCUGACGCUGAGACACGAAAGCCAGGGGAGCGAACGGG